GUGUGCACGUGCACUAGAAUUGGAAAGAUACAGAAAAUUAGCAUGGCCCUUGCACAAGGAUGACACCAAAUUCGUGAAGCAUUUCAUAUUUUU
This 93-nucleotide small nuclear RNA is filed under the name Choloepus hoffmanni (Hoffmann's two-fingered sloth). The record is from RNAcentral. Lineage: Eukaryota; Metazoa; Chordata; Mammalia; Pilosa; Megalonychidae.